AGAGAGUUUGGUUAUGGCUCAGGAUGAACGCUGGCGGCGUGCCUAAUACAUGCAAGUCGAACGCACAGCGAAAGGUGCUUGCACCUUUCAAGUGAGUGGCGAACGGGUGAGUAACACGUGGACAACCUGCCUCAAGGCUGGGGAUAACAUUUGGAAACAGAUGCUAAUACCGAAUAAAACUUAGUGUCGCAUGACACAAAGUUAAAAGGCGCUUCGGCGUCACCUAGAGAUGGAUCCGCGGUGCAUUAGUUAGUUGGUGGGGUAAAGGCCUACCAAGACAAUGAUGCAUAGCCGAGUUGAGAGACUGAUCGGCCACAUUGGGACUGAGACACGGCCCAAACUCCUACGGGAGGCUGCAGUAGGGAAUCUUCCACAAUGGGCGAAAGCCUGAUGGAGCAACGCCGCGUGUGUGAUGAAGGCUUUCGGGUCGUAAAGCACUGUUGUAUGGGAAGAACAGCUAGAAUAGGAAAUGAUUUUAGUUUGACGGUACCAUACCAGAAAGGGACGGCUAAAUACGUGCCAGCAGCCGCGGUAAUACGUAUGUCCCGAGCGUUAUCCGGAUUUAUUGGGCGUAAAGCGAGCGCAGACGGUUUAUUAAGUCUGAUGUGAAAGCCCGGAGCUCAACUCCGGAAUGGCAUUGGAAACUGGUUAACUUGAGUGCAGUAGAGGUAAGUGGAACUCCAUGUGUAGCGGUGGAAUGCGUAGAUAUAUGGAAGAACACCAGUGGCGAAGGCGGCUUACUGGACUGCAACUGACGUGAGCUCGAA
This 767-nucleotide ribosomal RNA is filed under the name Leuconostoc mesenteroides. RNAcentral's name for it is "bacterial SSU rRNA". It matches the Rfam family "Bacterial small subunit ribosomal RNA", at positions 1 to 757 of the family's 1533-position model. Lineage: Bacteria; Bacillati; Bacillota; Bacilli; Lactobacillales; Lactobacillaceae. The record is from RNAcentral.